Molecule: long non-coding RNA, 360 nt
Filed under: Solanum tuberosum (potato)
Lineage: Eukaryota; Viridiplantae; Streptophyta; Magnoliopsida; Solanales; Solanaceae
Description: long non-coding RNA (STUB_LNC010803)
Source: RNAcentral
GAGGAUUUGAUCAUCAGUAGCAUCACUACUCAGAUCAUCCUUUUGCUGCUCCAUGAAUAGCUGAACCUUGUCAUUCAAAUUCCCUAGUCCCACAGCAGGUGAGUCUUUUCCUGCUAAUACUUGAUGAUCAGUAGCAUCCUUCUGCUCCUCUGCGUACUCCUGAACCUUGUCAUUUGACUUCACUAAAGCCACAGCAGGUGACUCUUCUCCUUUCAGAUCUUGAAGAUCAGUAGCAUCACAGUUCAGAACAUCCUUCCGCUCCUUAGUGUUCUCCUGAACCUUGUCAUUCAAAUUUACAAGUUCCACAGCAGGUGACUCUGUUUCGUUUAGUCCUUGAUGAGUCGUAACAUCAUCACUCAC